CAAUAGCGUAUAUUAAAAUUGUUGCGGUUAAAACGCUCGUAGUUGGAUAUCUGCUGAGGGGUUCCGGUCCUUCCCAGUGAAGAAUACGCGGAACUCUUCUUGGCAUUUAUUCAGGGAAGGUGUUUGCACUUUGUUGUGUGUCACGUGAUCUGAAUUUUUACUUUGAGGAAAUGAGAGUGUUUCAAGCAGGCUUUCGCCGUGAAUAUGAUAGCAUGGAAUAAUAGCACAGGACCCCUUUCCAAAGCUGUUGGUUUUUGGAACGAGGUAAUCAGAAUAAGGAUAGUUGGGGGUAUUCGUAUUUAACUGUCAGAGGUGAAAUUCUUGGAUUUUUUAAAGACGAACUAUUGCGAAGGCAUCUGCCCAGGAUGUUUUUGUUGA
Molecule: ribosomal RNA, 378 nt
Filed under: uncultured eukaryote
Lineage: Eukaryota
Description: partial 18S ribosomal RNA
Rfam family: Eukaryotic small subunit ribosomal RNA
Source: RNAcentral